AACGAACGCUGGCGGCAGGCUUAACACAUGCAAGUCGAACGCACCGCAAGGUGAGUGGCAGACGGGUGAGUAACGCGUGGGAACCUUCCCUUUGGUUCAGGAUAGCUCCGGGAAACUGGAAUUAAUACUGGAUAAGAUCUACGGAUGAAAGAUUUAUCGCCGAAGGAUGGGCCCGCGUAAGAUUAGCUAGUUGGUGAGGUAAUGGCUCACCAAGGCAAUGAUCUUUAGCUGGUCUGAGAGGAUGAUCAGCCACACUGGAACUGAGACACGGUCCAGACUCCUACGGGAGGCAGCAGUGAGGAAUAUUGGACAAUGGGCGCAGCCUGAUCCAGCCAUGCCGCGUGAGUGAUGAAGGCCUUAGGGUUGUAAAACUCUUUUAGUAGGGAAAAUAAUGAUGGUACCUACAGAAAAAGCUCCGGCUAACUUCGUGCCAGCCGCCGCAGUAA
RNAcentral lists this ribosomal RNA (446 nucleotides) under uncultured bacterium. RNAcentral's name for it is "partial 16S ribosomal RNA". It matches the Rfam family "Bacterial small subunit ribosomal RNA", at positions 29 to 523 of the family's 1533-position model. The record is from RNAcentral.